GGCAGCCAUCACCACUGUGGCUGUCUUUCACAGUGGAGGAGCUGCAGAUUUAUCAGCAGGGACCAAAGAGCCCCUCCAUGACCUUUGCCAAGUGGCUCUCCCACCCAGUCCCCUGUGAGCAACCUGUCCCCCUACUUGAGGGUCUCCCAGACCCCAGCAGGGUAUCCUCCAAGGUGCAGCAGAUGUGGGCGCUGACAGAGAUGAUCCGGGCUAGUCACACCUCCACAAGGAUCGGCCGCUUUGAUGUGAGUGAUCGCU
This is a long non-coding RNA of Propithecus coquereli (Coquerel's sifaka), 258 nucleotides long. RefSeq lists it as uncharacterized. The record is from RefSeq and is a predicted model, not a curated record. The transcript has 3 exons. Lineage: Eukaryota; Metazoa; Chordata; Mammalia; Primates; Indriidae.